Physella acuta is the source of this 698-nucleotide long non-coding RNA. RefSeq lists it as uncharacterized. The record is from RefSeq and is a predicted model, not a curated record. Lineage: Eukaryota; Metazoa; Mollusca; Gastropoda; Physidae.
AGCCUACUAAUAAAUAAUUAAAUAGGCCUAAAGUAGUACUAGAUAUUAGUUAAAUCACUAGUAUUGUGUAGGGUUAUUUUUAUUAAAAAAACAGAUCACAUCUUAUACAUUAAGGCGGGCUCAAUAAAAUAAAAAUAAUUUAUUUAGGACCUAGGCCUAUCUUUUGGAGAUCUAAAAUUCUAAAUGAAAAAUAAAUUAUUAAUUAGACCAACAAUAGGCAUAGUUCAUCCAAAAAAAAGGGAAGAUCUGAUUUUUACCAGUAAUAAGACUACAGCAUACUAAAUGACACAAGAUGUUCUUUCUCUAUUACCUCUUACAUUUGACAUAAAAGUAGGAAAAGGUUUAACAGUCUAUGCCUACAACAUAGAUCUCCAGGACUAAAAGUACACAAAAUGGCAAUCAGUAUAUCACAAGUGUAAUAACACAUGCAUCUAAUCUGCUUCAGUGGCGAGAACUGGGUGAAUCCUCUCAAACAUUAAUCAGGAACUAGGCAUACCUAAUGAGCGUCAAGCUGAUACAGUAGAUGUACAGAAGAGUUUAUACACAAGGAAGUGAAAAGUGAUGUAAAAGGCAACUAAUACUUCCAUCUACCAUAGUUAAACAAGAAUCUGCAAAUGGUGAUAAUUGCAAUAAUCUUGAUAUAUUAAUGUUUGGCUUUAUACUUUAUAAUUAUAUGCAAUUGUUUCAUAAAUAAAUUA